RNAcentral lists this transfer RNA (58 nucleotides) under Strongyloides ratti. It matches the Rfam family "tRNA", at positions 8 to 63 of the family's 71-position model. Rfam says of the family: Transfer RNA (tRNA) molecules are approximately 80 nucleotides in length. The record is from Rfam by way of RNAcentral. Lineage: Eukaryota; Metazoa; Nematoda; Chromadorea; Rhabditida; Strongyloididae.
UAGCUCAGUUGGGAGAGCGUUAGACUGAAGAUCUAAAUGUCGCCGGUUCGAUCCCGGC